GACGAACGCUGGCGGCGUGCUUAACACAUGCAAGUCGAACGCUGAAGCUUGGUGCUUGCACUGGGUGGAUGAGUGGCGAACGGGUGAGUAAUACGUGAGUAACCUGCCCUUGACUCUGGGAUAAGCCUGGGAAACUGGGUCUAAUACUGGAUACGACAUGUCACCGCAUGGUGGUGUGUGGAAAGGGUUUUACUGGUUUUGGAUGGGCUCACGGCCUAUCAGCUUGUUGGUGGGGUAAUGGCUCACCAAGGCGACGACGGGUAGCCGGCCUGAGAGGGUGACCGGCCACACGGCGACUGAGACACGGCCCAGACUCCUACGGGAGGCAGCAGUGGGGAAUAUUGCACAAUGGGCGGAAGCCUGAUGCAGCGACGCCGCGUGAGGGAUGACGGCCUUCGGGUUGUGAACCUCUUUCAGCACGGAAGAAGCGAAAGUGACGGUACGUGCAGAAGAAGCGCCGGCUAACUACGUG
RNAcentral lists this ribosomal RNA (472 nucleotides) under uncultured bacterium. RNAcentral describes it as "partial 16S ribosomal RNA". It matches the Rfam family "Bacterial small subunit ribosomal RNA", at positions 28 to 507 of the family's 1533-position model. The record is from RNAcentral.